UCAUGAUGAACGCAAAACUGAGUGACGACAGCUGGAAUUACCGGCAGAUUGUUCAGUGGUGAUACUCGGUUUUUCUGACG
Molecule: small nucleolar RNA, 80 nt
Organism: Electrophorus electricus (electric eel)
Lineage: Eukaryota; Metazoa; Chordata; Actinopteri; Gymnotiformes; Gymnotidae
Source: RefSeq, a predicted model, not a curated record